Molecule: ribosomal RNA, 322 nt
Filed under: uncultured soil bacterium
Lineage: Bacteria
Description: bacterial SSU rRNA
Rfam family: Bacterial small subunit ribosomal RNA
Source: RNAcentral
AGAGCGAACGCUGGCGGCAGGCCUAACACAUGCAAGUCGAACGAACUCUUCGGAGUUAGUGGCGGACGGGUGAGUAACACGUGGGAACGUGCCUUUAGGUUCGGAAUAACUCAGGGAAACUUGUGCUUAUACCGAAUGUGCCCUUCGGGGGAAAGAUUUAUCGCCUUUAGAGCGGCCCGCGUCUGAUUAGCUUGUUGGUGGGGUAAUGGCCCACCAAGGCUACGAUCAGUAGCUGGUCUGGAGAGGAUGACCAGCCACAUUGGGACUGAGACACGGCCCAGACUCCUACGGGAGCAGCAGUGGGGAAUUUGGACAAGUGGGG